Molecule: long non-coding RNA, 2075 nt
Organism: Temnothorax curvispinosus
Lineage: Eukaryota; Metazoa; Arthropoda; Insecta; Hymenoptera; Formicidae
Exons: 6
Source: RefSeq, a predicted model, not a curated record
CGGUUUGACGAUUUUUUUCGGACGACAACGUUCAUGCACAGAAUAUCGCAUAUCCACGCAUUUAGAAGAGUGUGUUGCAUGCACAAUGGGAAGGCGAAAUGGGGAUCGACUCAUUUUGUGAUGCAUGCAUCUCUUCGUUGUGCGCUAUAUAGCUGGCACAUAGCGCUGUUAGACGAGGCCUGGCAUAAUUGUGCAAUACGUGUACCUCGCAUAUCUCAGCGUGCAUCCUUCCUUCCGUUUCGCCCUUCGAGAGCUACACUGCAUACCUACCAAGCGCAACUUACUCAAUGUCGACGAAUAACGGGGCGGGUUGCACGUCGAUACGUUGAUUCGCGCGUACCGUAUAGCUGGCAGACGAAAUGUUCGUUCUUCCAAACGACUAAAUCGGCAUCGAUUGGCAUCAUCAAACGCACACAAAAUGAUGUCCACUCGACUUCCAAAUCAAUUUAUAGCAAAUCACGUCGAAACUUAAACGCGAAGAAUCAUCUGGGUCUUGUUGUGAGAUUAGUAAAAAUUAUCUCCUUCAGAUUGCAAAAUUCUUAAGAGACAGUAAUAAAUAAGAUUCUGCCACAUUCAUAGACUAUUUGAUCAUAACGAUAUGGCGAUGAAACCGGUUACGAAUAAACUUCGACGAUCGUAUAACAAAAAGUAGCAAAAGCCAAACUGUUAAGCUGUGUCUCUGAUGAAAGCGAGAGAAAUCGCUAAGAGAGUGGAUUAAAAUGGAACUUUUAACAUUUUAAACGAGAACCUGUCAACCAUUAUCAAUUAACUCCGAGAAUCUGGAUUGAGCAUUUGAGCAUCAUGAGACACAUUUCUGUCUAUAUUUUUAGUUUUAGAUUAAUAAGAAAAUAAUAUCAAGAAAAUAUGAUAGGGAGUUCAGGGAAGAAAAUAUGGAAAUACAUCAAGCAAUAUAUAUUUGCACACGGUAUUCCUUUGGCCUUCUCGCUCAUAUCGACCAUUGGAAUUUAUCUCGCUGACCAGACGCGAAUAACCGAGAUGAAUCGUUGCCGUGCUGCCUUUUAAUUUCAUCCUUUAUCGUUUUUAUUGAACGUGCGUGAGAUACAGAGUAUUCUUGAGUCAUCCUUAUUCUUUUCAAUAUUUCAGAUGCUGAUCACAAUAGAAUGAAGCUAAAACGAUCCGAGAGACGAAAGAGUUUCAGAAACAGCCGCGAAACAAUAGGCAUAACUUCUAACACGGUUGACACGCCGGUUACCGCAAGCCGAAAGCAGCUAAUACAGCAAGUUAUCCACUUAGAAAUCCGACGGAACAUUGCGAGAGAAGAGUUUGAGGAGUCGGAGGGUGCAGGAGGCUGUUACCAACUUUGGAUAAACCGGACUAAGUUUCCUCUGGCUCGGUACUUACGAAACUGCCACGCGAAAACGUUCAAGUUUAUUCUUCUCUCACGCACCGACAGAGAAAUACUGCAGGCAUCGAUUUGUAUAACGAUUAAGUUAAUUAAGCGCUUUAAUGUGUUGUUUAUCAAAUCUCCCUUGAAGGUAACAUGUCUUUAGAAACCACUGAUGGCAAAAAUGUUUAACAAAAUAAAUAUACCCGAGUGGAAAUUGGUCUAGCCAAUCUGCAUUUUACAGCUAAUAACUGUAUCACGCAGGCUAGAUAUGUUACCUAGCCAUUGACUAGCUUAUUAGCUAUAAUUUAUGAAUAUAAUUCUUCGCUGUCUAGUACUUACUCGAUGGUGCAACAGAAUUAUUUUCAUUUUUAGAUACUUCAGCAUUCUUUCCGUGAUGAAGGAUUACAUAUUGCUAUAUAAUUGACUUUAAGCUGACAAUUUGUGUCCUACAAAAUGGUCCGUUGUGAUAUUUUAUCGAGAAAAUAUUGGACCCAGUCAGGGAUUUGAGAUAUUUCAGUGUGGUCCUGUUCUCUAAAGAUAAGAUUCUCGUUUUCCAUCAAGGUCGCAUAUCCACGCAGUGACAAAGUGAACGUUUGCAAUUUUCAAAGAAUUAUGUCGAAUUUUUGUGAAAGUUAGUUUGAAGAAGUUUAAUGUUUCUAUGCUUUUCUCUCUGCUUCUUUCACUCUCUUCUUUUUCUUUCAACACUACUUUCUUAUGUUACCUACUC